RNAcentral lists this small nucleolar RNA (88 nucleotides) under Chlamydomonas reinhardtii. RNAcentral describes it as "CrCD32d snoRNA". Lineage: Eukaryota; Viridiplantae; Chlorophyta; Chlorophyceae; Chlamydomonadales; Chlamydomonadaceae. The record is from RNAcentral.
UCGGCAAUGAAGAUGAAACCAUUGUACCAUCAAAUUCUGACGGCGCGUGGAGUGCCCUGACGACUAUUUUCAGCCUUGUCUGAGCCGA